GAUGAACGCUGGCGGCGUGCCUAAUACAUGCAAGUCGAGCGAACAGACGAGGAGCUUGCUCCUCUGACGUUAGCGGCGGACGGGUGAGUAACACGUGGAUAACCUACCUAUAAGACUGGGAUAACUUCGGGAAACCGGAGCUAAUACCGGAUAAUAUAUUGAACCGCAUGGUUCAAUAGUGAAAGACGGUUUUGCUGUCACUUAUAGAUGGAUCCGCGCCGCAUUAGCUAGUUGGUAAGGUAACGGCUUACCAAGGCAACGAUGCGUAGCCGACCUGAGAGGGUGAUCGGCCACACUGGAACUGAGACACGGUCCGACUCCUACGGGAGGCAGCAGUAGGGAAUCUUCCGCAAUGGGCGAAAGCCUGACGGAGCAACGCCGCGUGAGUGAUGAAGGUCUUCGGAUCGUAAAACUCUGUUAUUAGGGAAGAACAAAUGUGUAAGUAACUAUGCACGUCUUGACGGUACCUAAUCAGAAAGCCACGGCUAACUACGUG
Molecule: ribosomal RNA, 496 nt
Filed under: uncultured bacterium
Lineage: Bacteria
Description: partial 16S ribosomal RNA
Rfam family: Bacterial small subunit ribosomal RNA
Source: RNAcentral